Molecule: ribosomal RNA, 324 nt
Filed under: uncultured eukaryote
Lineage: Eukaryota
Description: partial 18S ribosomal RNA
Rfam family: Eukaryotic small subunit ribosomal RNA
Source: RNAcentral
CCCUUAGAUGCUCUGGGCCGCACGCGCGCUACACUGGUCGAUGCAACGAGUUUCUUUCCUUGGCCGACAGGCCUGGGCAAUCUUUGAACAUCGAUCGUGAUCGGGAUAGAUUCUUGUAAUUUUUGAUCUUAAACGAGGAAUUCCUAGUAAACGCAAGUCAUCAGCUUGCAUUGAUUACGUCCCUGCCCUUUGUACACACCGCCCGUCGCACCUACCGAUUGAAUGGUCCGGUGAAAUCUCCGGACUGGCGUGAGUCGGAGCAAUCUGACAAACGCCGGAAAGUUGAUUAAACCUUACCAUUUAGAGGAAGGUGUAGUCGUAACA